Molecule: small nuclear RNA, 120 nt
Organism: Andrographis paniculata
Lineage: Eukaryota; Viridiplantae; Streptophyta; Magnoliopsida; Lamiales; Acanthaceae
Product: U5 spliceosomal RNA
Exons: 1
Source: RefSeq, a predicted model, not a curated record
CAGCUGCGCAAUGUGCACAUAGCGAACUAUUCUUUCGCCUUUUACUAAAGAAUACCGUGUGCUCGUUGCAUUUAAACAGCAUACAAUACUUUUUGGGAGGGCUCUUCGAUUACGAAGAAU